CCCAACAUGGCACGUUCCUCCCAUCUCGUCGCUUCCACGGCCAUCGCUCUGCUCCUCCUCCUCGUGUCGUCGUACUCCUGCCGCGCGGCGAACAGCAGCGGCAAGAACCCGACCGCCGUGGUGCUGCCGGUGCGCAAGGACAGCGCGACGCUGCAGUACGUGACCGGCUUCCGGCAGCGCACGCCGCAGACGCCCGUGACUGCCGUGCUCGACCUCGGCGGCGCCACGCUCUGGGUGGACUGCGACCCCGGGUCGUACGCGUCCUCCUCCUACGCCCGCGUGCCGUGCGCGUCCAAGCCGUGCCGCCUGGCCCGCACGGCCGCCUGCGCCACCAGCUGCGUCGGCGCGCCGUCCCCCGGGUGCCUCAACGACACCUGCGGCGGGUUCCCCGAGAACACCGUCACGCGCGUCGCCACCGGCGGCAACCUCAUCACCGACGUGCUGUCCGUGCCCACCACCUUCCGCCCGACGCCGGGGCCGCUCGCCGCCGCGCCGGCGUUCCUGUUCGCCUGCGGCGCCAAGUUCCUCACCGAGGGCCUCGCGUCGGGCGCCGCCGGCAUGGCGUCGCUCAGCCGCGCGCGGUUCGCGCUCCCCACGCAGCUCGCCGCCACCUUCCGCUUCUCGCCCAAGUUCGCGCUCUGCCUCCCCUCGACCACCUCGGCCGGGGUCGUCGUCUUCGGGGACGCGCCCUACGCGUUCCAGCCCGGGGUGGACCUCUCCGCCGGCUCGCUCCUCUACACGCCGCUCCUCGUCAACAACGUGAGCACCGCGGGGGUCUCCGGCAAGGGUGACAAGUCGACCGAGUACUUCAUCGGCGUGACGGCCAUCAAGGUGAACGGCCGUGUCGUUCCGCUGAACGCCACGCUGCUGGGAAUCGACAAGCAGGGCGUGGGCGGCACCAAGCUGAGCACGGUCGCGCCAUACACCGUGCUGGAGAGCUCCAUCCACAGGGCCGUCACCGACGCGUUCGCGGCGGAGACGGCCAUGAUCCCUCGCGUGGCCGCCGUGGCGCCGUUCAGGCUCUGCUACGACGGGAGCAAGGUGGGGAGCACCCGCGUCGGUCCGGCCGUGCCGACCGUGGAGCUGGUGCUGCAGAACGAGGCCACGUCGUGGGUGGUGUUCGGGGCCAACUCGAUGGUGGCCGCCAACAAGGGCGGCGCGCUCUGCCUCGGCGUGGUUGACGGCGGCCCGGCCCCGCGGACGUCGGUGGUGGUCGGCGGCCACAUGAUGGAGGACAACCUGCUGGAGUUCGACCUGCAACGAUCACGCCUCGGGUUCAGCUCGUCCCUGCUGUUCCGGCAGACGACCUGCAACAACUUCCGCCUCGGCUAGGAAUGGCUGCAGCCUGUACCUGGUCACCUUCUCGAGGAUCGUCGAGAGGAAAUCGACGGGGGACUUCUCUGGCGUGCCAUACAACAUGACGUUGCUCAGCUGCCUCUUAUUGGCAUGAUUUUGUCCUCAACCAUCGGCAGCUUAGCAUGGUAGUUGCCUGAUGUAGACCACACAUGCAGAUGGGUUUGAGAAUGUGGAUUGAACCCGUAAGCUGGGAACUAGUUUGGAUGGGUUUGGGUGGAAAAUUGUUGUAGUUUGGUUUGGUCUGGAUCCUAGUAUGCAGCUUUUAGUUUGGUUUGGAUCGGUUGCUACACACGUGUUUGUACAAUUUGGAUUGGAUUCGUUCUGGUUUUGAAAGCAUUCCCAGCCAUAACAGCAAGGGAUCAUGUGAUUUUUGCUUCAACACUAAGUGAACAUGUGCAUAUGGAUGUAGUAUUGUUAUGUCCUUAUUGUAUCAUAGGAUGUAUAUUUCUUGAAGUUUUGGUCAGAUUAAACAAUAGGUUUCUUUCCUGAUUUUUUUAUCCACCAUGAUGUAUUUUCAUGAUCAUAUUGUGUAUAUGGGAUGUAUUAUUAUACCACAGUACUUUUGCAUCCCUUGAAGUUUUGCUUCACAUUAGACAGUAUGGUUCUUUCCUGAACUUCUUUUUAUUCAACAUGAUGUAUUUUCUCAUUAAAAAUUGCAUAUGGGAUGUAUUAUUCUAGUCAUAGGAUGUACUAUUUUUAACCCACAGAUAUAAUAACGCUGAUAUAUUUA
Molecule: RNA transcript, 2086 nt
Organism: Lolium rigidum
Lineage: Eukaryota; Viridiplantae; Streptophyta; Magnoliopsida; Poales; Poaceae
Gene name: probable aspartic proteinase GIP2
Exons: 3
Source: RefSeq, a predicted model, not a curated record